AUCCCAUGAUGAGGACACUUACGAAGUAACUCAUUGAAUCACUCCCAAGCCUCAUACAAAGACUCUCCAUCCAAUAGUUGGAAAGUUGUUAUCUUGUUCCUUAACUU
RNAcentral lists this small nucleolar RNA (107 nucleotides) under Gossypium hirsutum (cotton). RNAcentral describes it as "Plant small nucleolar RNA R71". It matches the Rfam family "Plant small nucleolar RNA R71". Rfam says of the family: R71 is a member of the C/D box family of snoRNAs containing the C (UGAUGA) and D (CUGA) box motifs. Multiple nearly identical copies of this snoRNA have been identified in Arabidopsis, and it is thought to function as a 2'-O-ribose methylation guide for 18S ribosomal RNA. Lineage: Eukaryota; Viridiplantae; Streptophyta; Magnoliopsida; Malvales; Malvaceae. The record is from Rfam by way of RNAcentral.